Molecule: unclassified non-coding RNA, 229 nt
Filed under: Hevea brasiliensis (rubber tree)
Lineage: Eukaryota; Viridiplantae; Streptophyta; Magnoliopsida; Malpighiales; Euphorbiaceae
Source: RNAcentral
GUCGGGAACAAUGGCUUUCUCGAGGUGCUGUCAAGAACAAAAAAUGGAACGAAGAGGACAAUCGGCUUGAUUCAGUGGUCAUUAAAACGAGGGAAGAUGAUAACCUUUCCUCCAAAAAAAUAAAUAUGAGGGAAAUAGUAGAAGAGAACGAUAGAUCGGUUCACCACCAUAGCGAUUUUUCGGACUCGCCGUCUAAUAGUCCUCCUAGUAUUGGCAGUAGUAUCUUGGG